RNAcentral lists this ribosomal RNA (498 nucleotides) under uncultured bacterium. Its description in RNAcentral is "partial 16S ribosomal RNA". It matches the Rfam family "Bacterial small subunit ribosomal RNA", at positions 30 to 523 of the family's 1533-position model. The record is from RNAcentral.
AUUGAACGCUGGCGGCAUGCCUUACACAUGCAAGUCGAACGGUAACAGGUCUUCGGAUGCUGACGAGUGGCGAACGGGUGAGUAAUACAUCGGAACGUGCCUAGUAGUGGGGGAUAACUACUCGAAAGAGUGGCUAAUACCGCAUGAGAUCUACGGAUGAAAGCAGGGGAUCGCAAGACCUUGUGCUACUAGAGCGGCCGAUGGCCGAUUAGGUAGUUGGUGGGAUAAAAGCUUACCAAGCCGACGAUCUGUAGCUGGUCAGAGAGGACGAUCAGCCACACUGGGACUGAGACACGGCCCAGACUCCUACGGGAGGCAGCAGUGGGGAAGUUUGGACAAUGGGAGAAAGCCUGAUCCAGCAAUGCCGCGUGCAGGAUGAAGGCCUUCGGGUUGUAAACUGCUUUUGUACGGAACGAAAAGCCCCGGGUUAAUACCCUGGGGUCAUGACGGUACCGUAAGAAUAAGCACCGGCUAACUACGUGCCAGCCGCCGCGGUAA